GUAGCAGUGCGGGUGGUAACUGAAAAAUGUUUGUUGUUUUUCAGAGGAAAGUCCGGACUCUAUGAAGCGCGGUUCCGAAUGAAAAUUCGGGAUGCUGUUUAAAAACAGCAUACGGAAAGUGCCACAGAAAACAGGUAGCCACGUAAAUCCGAAAGACGGAAACGUGGUGAUAGUGAAAAGGUGGGGUAAGAGCCCACCGUGUUCCGGGUAACUGGAACUGCAAGGCAAACCCAUCCGGGAGCAAGACCAAAUAGAGGGCUGUGGAACGUUUUAACGUUUCCUGACUGCUUCUGUCAUAUGGCCCAGGGUUGGUCGCUUAGACUGAUUAUCACCGCCAUAUAUUUAUGGUACAGAAUCCGGCUUAUAGCACUGCUACGACC
RNAcentral lists this RNase P RNA (380 nucleotides) under Candidatus Goldiibacteriota bacterium. RNAcentral's name for it is "RNase P RNA component class A". It matches the Rfam family "Bacterial RNase P class A". From Rfam's summary of the family: Ribonuclease P (RNase P) is a ubiquitous endoribonuclease, found in archaea, bacteria and eukarya as well as chloroplasts and mitochondria. Lineage: Bacteria; Candidatus Goldiibacteriota. The record is from RNAcentral.